GAUUAACGCUAGCGGCAGGCCUAAUACAUGCAAGUCGAACGGCAGCACGGGUAGCAAUGCCUGGUGGCGAGUGGCGCACGGGUGCGUAACGCGUAUGCAAUCUACCUAUAACUGGGGAAUAGCCUUCCGAAAGGAAGAUUAAAACCGCAUAAUAUCACGAAGCGGCAUCGUUUUGUGAUCAAAUCUCCGGAGGUUAUAGAUGAGCAUGCGUGACAUUAGCUAGUUGGUGAGGUAACGGCUCACCAAGGCUACGAUGUCUAGGGGGUCUGAGAGGAUGAUCCCC
This 283-nucleotide ribosomal RNA is filed under the name uncultured bacterium. RNAcentral's name for it is "partial 16S ribosomal RNA". It matches the Rfam family "Bacterial small subunit ribosomal RNA", at positions 28 to 308 of the family's 1533-position model. The record is from RNAcentral.